This 225-nucleotide unclassified non-coding RNA is filed under the name uncultured fungus. RNAcentral's name for it is "sequence contains ITS1, 5.8S rRNA gene". The stretch from base 177 to 225 matches the Rfam family "5.8S ribosomal RNA", at positions 1 to 49 of the family's 154-position model. The record is from RNAcentral. Lineage: Eukaryota; Fungi.
UUUCCGUAGGUGAACCUGCGGAAGGAUCAUUAUCAAACAGCGGCCUUCGGGCCUUGCUGCACCCUUGUCUUUUUGCGUACUUAUCGUUUCCUCGGCGGGCUUGCCUGCCGGUUGGACAACUUUAUAACCUUUUUUUUAAAUCUUCAAUCAGCGUCUGAACAAUAUACAAUAAUUACAACUUUCAACAACGGAUCUCUUGGUUCUGGCAUCGAUGAAGAACGCAGC